CAUUUGAGUGAGUGGCGAACUGGUGAGUAACACGUGGGAAACCUGCCCAGAAGCGGGGGAUAACACCUGGAAACAGAUGCUAAUACCGCAUAACAACUUGGACCGCAUGGUCCGAGCUUGAAAGAUGGCUUCGGCUAUCACUUUUGGAUGGUCCCGCGGCGUAUUAGCUAGAUGGUGGGGUAACGGCUCACCAUGGCAAUGAUACGUAGCCGACCUGAGAGGGUAAUCGGCCACAUUGGGACUGAGACACGGCCCAAACUCCUACGGGAGGCAGCAGUAGGGAAUCUUCCACAAUGGACGAAAGUCUGAUGGAGCAACGCCGCGUGAGUGAAGAAGGGUUUCGGCUCGUAAAACUCUGUUGUUAAA
This 366-nucleotide ribosomal RNA is filed under the name Lactiplantibacillus plantarum. Its description in RNAcentral is "bacterial SSU rRNA". It matches the Rfam family "Bacterial small subunit ribosomal RNA", at positions 84 to 443 of the family's 1533-position model. The record is from RNAcentral. Lineage: Bacteria; Bacillati; Bacillota; Bacilli; Lactobacillales; Lactobacillaceae.